Folsomia candida is the source of this 3193-nucleotide RNA transcript. It is a transcript of the gene named fructose-2,6-bisphosphatase TIGAR, with no coding region annotated. The transcript has 7 exons. Lineage: Eukaryota; Metazoa; Arthropoda; Collembola; Entomobryomorpha; Isotomidae. The record is from RefSeq and is a predicted model, not a curated record.
AGUCACGAGCAUGAGGAAUAUGUAUUCUUAAACUGUAUAUAAUAAGUCGUACAGAUUUGUAGGAAUUUAGGUAAGUGGAAUAUUCCUAGCAGACCAAACUUGAUCUGAAGUCUUGAAGAUCUUACACCGUGUUUUAUUACCAUGUUAUCCGUGACUUUUGUGCGACAUGGAGAAACGGUGGCAAAUGUGGGUCGCAUAAUACAAGGCCACUCCCAUGGCGAACUGACAGAAAGAGGUAUUUCCAUGGCGGAACAUUUAGGUCGUCACCUCUCCGAGGAGAAAUUCACCCGGGUUUUUUCCUCCGAUUUGAAGAGAUGUCACGAUACGACGCGGCACAUCUUAAAGCACUCCAGCGAUGGAGACGUACCAGAAGAUCUUAUCGUUUUGGACCAAGUCCUGAGAGAAGUGUGUUGCGGUGACCUUGAACUCCAGCCGGAAUCGGAACUACUGAAGAUUUCACGCCAGACCGGACUUUACUUUCCAUUCGUGCAAAUUCCGGGUGGCGAAAGCUUUCAAGAUGUGAAAGCUAGGACGGGAGAGUUCUUUAAUCUGCUUUGCAAACUCGUCGACGCCACGGAGGGCGGAGAGGAGAAUGUCCUUGUAGUGACGCAUGGGGGUUGGUUGAUGUGUUUCUUGCACUGUUUGGUGGACCUUAAGAAAACCGAGGCCAUUGACCUUAUCGAUUUUGAAGAGAAAUUUUGCCGCUUGCGGGCACAUAACACGGCCACGACCAAGAUUACAAUCAACAAGUUGGGUGACAACGAUAAGAGGAAAGUUGUCAUGAAGCAGGUCCAUGCCACGGAACAUUUACCGGAACAUUUAAAGUAGAAAUAGAGGGUACUUUCUUUAACCAGGUGGUUCUGUAGAUAUUAUUACUUGCAUACCUACUUGACCAUAAUUUUACAAAUUUUGCAAAUGAUCAAGUAACUAAUAAGCAAUUUUAUGUUUGUACCGAUUGAUAAUAUUUUGUACUGAUGACAGGCCUUUAAAUAGGAAAUAUAAUAUCUUUGGCUGAUCAAGACUUGCAUGUGCAUGUAUUUUAGUAUGCACAUAUUUCAUGCAUGUAUACACAUAAUAUAAACGAAGUGUAGAAACUUUGAAUUCCUUCCACUACCAUUGGAACCUGAUUGGAAACAAAUAGGUACGGGAAAGUGUUAAGUAUUAACACUAAUAAAAUCGUCCUAACGACUGUGUAUGCAAAUGUGGAACCUACCUAAAACCCCACGGCGUUCCUGAAUUUUUUUUACUCUCGCAAAGUUAUUUUGCCCUUCGCAAGUUUUCGAGAUAUGCGAAGAUUGUCGUGAGAACGUUCAAUGUCAAAUUAUCAAGAUGUGAGAUCCCAAAGUCAAUACAAAAAGAGGAGAAAUUUUAGGAAAAUAUUAGCUGUGCUGUGGGAAAAGUGCAAAUUCUAACUAAUGUACUUCGUUUAACCUAUAUAAAUAUGUAUGAUGAUAAAUCGUCAGACAUGCAUUUAAUUAUUUAUGCAAGAUAUAAAAUAAUGCAUGAUUAUUGUGGCUUUAUCAAAAUCGGAGCUAUGUAGACCGCCGCUGGCGUCAUCGCAUUGUACGUGACACCACCCACCCAUUAUUUCAAAACAUGAUCAUGCACGUCAAAGUCUAACUAAUCCGACCCAUCUGCAUAUUUAGAUAUCUAUAAAGAUAAAUACACGUGCAAAAAAGGUGACCAAACCCGUGACAGAGUAAGUAAGUAUGUACAUAAUUUAUACAUUUAUACGUUUAAUAUACGUCUUUGCGUCAAAAAAUCUUCUCAAUAACCUGAACAAUGGCUAGAGCAAAACAAAACUCCCAUGUCCAUCAUCAUCAUCCUCAUGAUGCAUAUUUGUCUGUGAUUCGCACGAUAUAUAUGAAUGGAACCUGCUUUUAAUAAAUGCAUACAUAGUUUAGUUACAAUGUUUCACUCCAUAACUAAAUAUGCAUAUCCUUCCCUGUUAGAGUUUCCUCACAAUCAGCGCAUUCCAUUCCUCGCAAAUAAAACGAGUCACGAGGAUGACCAAUGUUCCCACGCAGUAUAAAAUAAGGCGUACAGAUUUGUGCGAAUUCAGUGCAAUCUAAUCUUCCUAGCUACAUAGCUAGAGCCCCAAAAUUUCUGUAAAUUAUUAGAAAUCUUACAAGUUGUAUUGUCAUGCUGUCAGUCACCUUUGUACGACAUGGGGAGACGGUCGGCAACGUGGCCCGCAUAAUACAGAGCCACACCCAUGGCGAACUGACGGAGAGGGGUAUUUCCAUGGCGGAACAUUUAGGUCGCCAUCUCUCCGAGGAGAAAUUCACCCGGGUUUUUUCCUCCGAUUUAAAGAGAUGUCACGAUACGACGCUUCACAUCUUGAAGCAAUCCAAGGAUGCUGACGUGCAAGAAGAUUGCAUCGUUUUGGACCAAAUCCUGCGAGAAAUGUUUUGCGGUGAUCUGGAGCACCAACCGCAAUCGGAAAUGUUCAAACUCUUUAAUCAGACUGGACUUCACUUUCCACACGUGCAAAUUCCGGGUGGCGAAAGUUUCCAAGAUGUGAAGGCCCGGACAGAAAAGUUCUUUAACGUAAAGAAUUUUAUAUUAAACCUGUGCCUACAUACAUAGUUAGUUGGUAUGGUUUGGUUAAAUGAAAUUCUACUGGGUCGGCAAAAGAUGCUAUGCAACCUUGUCGAUGCCAAGGAGGGCAGGGAAGAAAACGUUCUCGUGGUGACGCAUGGCGCCUGGCUGAUGUGUUUCUUGCACUGUUUGGUGGACCUUAAGAAAAACGAGGCCAUUGACCUUAUCGACUUUGAAGAGAAAUUUUGCUCCAUGCCGGCACACAACACGGCCACGACCAAGAUGACGAUCAACAAGCAGGCUGACAACGGGAGGAGAAAAGUUGUCGUGAAACAGGUCCAUGCCACGGACCACUUACCGGAAGAUUUAAAAUAGGGGUUUCUUUCUUUGCCCAGUUAGCUCAACAGAUUUACACUUAUUCACUGUAAUUUGUCAAAUUAUGUAAAUUAAAAAAUAACUACAUGCAUAAUAUGCAAUAUUACGUACCAAUUGUUUGUGACAAUUAAGAAAUUUUUUGGCCGAUUAUGUAAGACUAACUCCACGUAAUGGAAACCCAGUGAUAAAUAUGAUUAAUCAAGUUCACUUCAACAUUACCUUGACGACUUAAUAAGUAAAUGAAGAAAGUUUCUAAGUAUUUAUGAGAGAUUCGACA